ACGGAGGGUGCAAGCGUUAAUCGGAAUUACUGGGCGUAAAGCGCACGCAGGCGGUCUGUCAAGUCGGAUGUGAAAUCCCCGGGCUCAACCUGGGAACUGCAUUCGAAACUGGCAGGCUAGAGUCUUGUAGAGGGGGGUAGAAUUCCAGGUGUAGCGGUGAAAUGCGUAGAGAUCUGGAGGAAUACCGGUGGCGAAGGCGGCAUCCUGGACCGGUAUUGACGCUGAGGCGCGAAAGCCAGGGGAGCAAACAGGA
Molecule: ribosomal RNA, 253 nt
Filed under: uncultured prokaryote
Description: partial 16S ribosomal RNA
Rfam family: Bacterial small subunit ribosomal RNA
Source: RNAcentral